UACAGAGGGGGCAAGCGUUGUUCGGAAUUACUGGGCGUAAAGGGCGCGUAGGCGGCCUUCUAAGUCGAACGUGAAAUCCCCGGGCUCAACCCGGGAACUGCGUCCGAUACUGGAAGGCUUGAAUCCGGGAGAGGGAUGCGGAAUUCCAGGUGUAGCGGUGAAAUGCGUAGAUAUCUGGAGGAACACCGGUGGCGAAGGCGGCAUCCUGGACCGGUAUUGACGCUGAGGUGCGAAAGCGUGGGGAGCAAACAGG
RNAcentral lists this ribosomal RNA (253 nucleotides) under uncultured bacterium. Its description in RNAcentral is "partial 16S ribosomal RNA". It matches the Rfam family "Bacterial small subunit ribosomal RNA", at positions 524 to 776 of the family's 1533-position model. The record is from RNAcentral.